ACCUUCCGGGGUUGUAAUCUUCUUCARUAGGGAAGAAGCGAAGUGAACGGUACCUGGCAGGAUGAAGCGCCGGCUAAACUACGUGCCAGCCAGCCGCGGUAAUACGUAGGGCGCAAGCGUUAUCCUGGAAUUAUUGGGCGUAAAGAGCUCGUAGGCGGUUUGUCGCGUCUGCCGUGAAAGUCCGGGGGCUCAACUCCGGAUCUGCGGUGGGUACGGGCAGACUAGAGUGAUGUAGGGGAGACUGGAAUUCCUGGUGUAGCGGUGAAAUGCGCAGAUAUCAGGAGGAACACCGAUGGCGAAGGCAGGUCUCUGGGCAUUAACUGACGCUGAGGAGCGAAAGCAUGGGGAGCGAACAGGAUUAGAUACCCUGGUAGUCCAUGCCGUAAACGUUGGGCACUAGGUGUGGGGGACAUUCCACGUUUUCCGCGCCGUAGCUAACGCAUUAAGUGCCCCGCCUGGGGAGUACGGCCGCAAGGCUAAAACUCAAAGGAAUUGACGGGGGCCCGCACAAGCGGCGGAGCAUGCGGAUUAAUUCGAUGCAACGCGAAGAACCUUACCAAGGCUUGACAUGGGCCGGACCGGGCUGGAAACAGUCCUUCCCCUUUGGGGCCGGUUCACAGGUGGUGCAUGGUUGUCGUCAGCUCGUGUCGUGAGAUGUUGGGUUAAGUCCCGCAACGAGCGCAACCCUCGUUCCAUGUUGCCAGCGCGUAAUGGCGGGGACUCAUGGGAGACUGCCGGGGUCAACUCGGAGGAAGGUGGGGACGACGUCAAAUCAUCAUGCCCCUUAUGUCUUGGGCUUCACGCAUGCUACAAUGGCCGGUACAAAGGGUUGCGAUACUGUGAGGUGGAGCUAAUCCCAAAAAGCCGGUCUCAGUUCGGAUUGGGGUCUGCAACUCGACCCCAUGAAGUCGGAGUCGCUAGUAAUCGCAGAUCAGCAACGCUGCGGUGAAUACGUUCCCGGGCCUUGUACACACCGCCCGUCAAGUCACGAAAGUUGGUAACACCCGAAGCCGGUGGCCUAACCCCUUGUGGGAGGGAGCUKUG
This 1044-nucleotide ribosomal RNA is filed under the name Arthrobacter sp. RNAcentral's name for it is "bacterial SSU rRNA". The record is from RNAcentral. Lineage: Bacteria; Bacillati; Actinomycetota; Actinomycetes; Micrococcales; Micrococcaceae.